Molecule: long non-coding RNA, 387 nt
Organism: Arabidopsis thaliana (thale cress)
Lineage: Eukaryota; Viridiplantae; Streptophyta; Magnoliopsida; Brassicales; Brassicaceae
Product: other RNA
Exons: 2
Source: RefSeq
ACAUCCUUCAUUAUCUCUCCACUUAAGAUACACUAGCCCAGCUCUAUAGUGCGUUAACGCACCAGCAACUACCAGUACACUUAAGAUACAACUGAUGGCUAUGUCCUGCUAUGUCGAAUUUACCCGGCAUCCAUCUCUCUGGGAUCCUAGUUGCAUAAACCAGAGCUUGAUUUCAUAAAUUGAGCAGAUGAGCUUUUGGAGGCCGAGCUUUUUGUUUUCACAGCGAUGGGUUUACAUUGGUUUUGAAAUUCAAAUUGAUCUCGGUUCGGUUUAAUUUGGUUUAGAGAAGAAAACCAAAAAAAAUACGACACGCGAUGGGUUUUUGAGAAUGAGGUGCGUGGAUCCAAAAAUGCAUGAUUUUUGUGGACCCCUUUAGAAAUCGUAGAC